CGGACGGGUGAGUGACGCGUGGGUAACCUGCCUCAUACAGGGGGAUAACAGUUAGAAAUGGCUGCUAAUACCGCAUAAGACCACAGUACUGCAUGGUACAGUGGUAAAAACUCCGGGGGUAUGAGAUGGACCCGCGUCUGAUUAGGUAGUUGGUGAGGUAACGGCCCACCAAGCCGACGAUCAGUAGCCGACCUGAGAGGGUGACCGGCCACAUUGGGACUGAGACACGGCCCAG
Molecule: ribosomal RNA, 235 nt
Filed under: uncultured bacterium
Lineage: Bacteria
Description: partial 16S ribosomal RNA
Rfam family: Bacterial small subunit ribosomal RNA
Source: RNAcentral